This is a long non-coding RNA of Caretta caretta (loggerhead turtle), 391 nucleotides long. RefSeq lists it as uncharacterized. NCBI's taxonomy places the organism in Eukaryota, Metazoa, Chordata, Testudines, Cheloniidae. The record is from RefSeq and is a predicted model, not a curated record.
GCUUGAGAGAGUCCGCGAGAAAGAAAAGGGGACUGGCCGCUGGGGAGCGGGUUUUCCUGCAUUGCACAGAAUGGAGCUGCCGUCCUGCUGUCCCCGUGCACUGGAUUCCCUACUCCUUGGAGCACAGCCAGCAGUACAAACAUAAGGCCAGAUUUUCACCGGUGUUGAGCGCCUACAGCUCCCUUUAAAAACAACAAGGAGUCCGGUGGCACCUUAAAGACUAACAGAUUUAUUUGAGCAUAAGCUUUCAUGGAUAAAAACCCCACUUCUUCAGACGCAGCUCUCUUUGAAUUCAAGUGGAGUUUAUGGUGCUCAGGAUUUCUGUAAAACAGGUCUAUUAUAACUGGGCAUGUGAAAUAUUUUUGAAGUGGGAUCUUGGGGCAAUUAAAUC